UACACUCCUACGGGAGGCAGCAGUGGGGAAUUUUGGACAAUGGGCGAAAGCCUGAUCCAGCAAUGCCGCGUGAGUGAAGAAGGCCUUCGGGUUGUAAAGCUCUUUUGUCAGGGAAGAAACGGUGAGAGCUAAUAUCUUUUGCUAAUGACGGUACCUGAAGAAUAAGCACCGGCUAACUACGUGCCAGCAGCCGCGGUAAUACGUAGGGUGCAAGCGUUAAUCGGAAUUACUGGGCGUAAAGCGUGCGCAGGCGGUUUUGUAAGUCUGAUGUGAAAUCCCCGGGCUCAACCUGGGAAUUGCAUUGGAGACUGCAAGGCUAGAAUCUGGCAGAGGGGGGUAGAAUUCCACGUGUAGCAGUGAAAUGCGUAGAUAUGUGGAGGAACACCGAUGGCGAAGGCAGCCCCCUGGGUCAAGAUUGACGCUCAUGCACGAAAGCGUGGGGAGCAAACAGGAUUAGAAACCCUAGUAGUCCCAAGA
This 477-nucleotide ribosomal RNA is filed under the name uncultured organism. RNAcentral describes it as "partial 16S ribosomal RNA". It matches the Rfam family "Bacterial small subunit ribosomal RNA", at positions 332 to 804 of the family's 1533-position model. The record is from RNAcentral.